ACCACACCUAGCCUGACAAACCAGACCCACAUCCAGGUGUUGGGUCUAGGAACUCCACAUUGGCAGGGCUCAAUCCGAGGGGCGGGGUAAACGGUUGUCUUUCAAAGUCCCUACAACCAACCAGGGCGAUGCUAGUUGAUGGAUUAAACUUUUGUCGUAUCCGGUCGACAAAACUCCGAACACAUCUUUCUUUUUCAGAAUGACUUCAGUGCCGUUCUUUGUUCUUUCUCAAAGAAAAGCUUCACUCCAAGUAUUCCAGAAAACCUCUGCUUCACCAGC
Etheostoma cragini (Arkansas darter) is the source of this 279-nucleotide long non-coding RNA. RefSeq lists it as uncharacterized. Lineage: Eukaryota; Metazoa; Chordata; Actinopteri; Perciformes; Percidae. The transcript has 3 exons. The record is from RefSeq and is a predicted model, not a curated record.